This is a long non-coding RNA of Cuculus canorus (common cuckoo), 4511 nucleotides long. RefSeq lists it as uncharacterized. The record is from RefSeq and is a predicted model, not a curated record. Lineage: Eukaryota; Metazoa; Chordata; Aves; Cuculiformes; Cuculidae. The transcript has 5 exons.
GCCCUGUCCCUCCCCCCUCUGCACCCUCUCCAGUCUCUUGCUGUUUCGUUUUUCUUACCCUGCAUUGAUAAUUCCUGCACACUUCUGGUAGUCCUCAAUCACCAGCAGCCAGGGCAUUGCAGCUGUCUAUAUUUUAACUUAAAGUGAGUGGCAUCUUUUCUCCUGGCAACAGGCUGCCUUGCUUUCUUCCCCUCUCCUUCGAUAAAAAGUGACAAGUGCUCCUUCACAGAGCAGCGCAAUCAAAGGAGCCGCUCAAAGAGAACUGACAGUAAGUUGUGCGCUGGCUGCAAGCUGUUUUACUGAGGGACUUAGAUGGAGUUCCCAUCCUUCCCAUCUUUCCCCCUCUUGUGACAGUGCCUUGCACCCUUUGUGAUGAUACCAGAGCUUAUUUUACCAUGGCUUAUCUGAAUAAUCAGUUCCAGGGUUUCUAAACCAUCUCAGAGGGAUUUCUGAGGUUCUGCAGAGCUUUGCAAACUGUGUGUGAUGCAGCUGAGAGCUGUGCCACAGGGCUUCGCUCCCCACUCCGCCCCUCAGCACCCUGCUGACGACUGGGUCAAUACAUAAGGAGCUUUUCUAACCAUUUCAGGAUGCACUGAUGUGUCUUUAGUGCACAGGCGCUUUAAUUACAGCCACUCUUUGGAGGGAGGAUCGCACCUUACUGAGUGUCAGCGCUGCCUAGCAGCAAAGCCUCUCAGCAGGGCUGCAAAUCAAUAACCUCAGUAGCUCUCCAGGUUCCCCAGAGCCAAGGAGUUUACCUCUCCCCUGUCUUCAUCUUCAGCAGUCUUCCUCAGCACUGAUGGGCAUCUGUUACUGACACAUCACCAAGCAUUUGCAAGUCUGUGUUGGAGGCACCUUGAUUAAAACUGCUACCAUUACUGGUAGGAAGCUGAUGAUGAGCAUCUCUGCUACCCAGCGUAGCUCUGCUCUCAAAAGGAGCAUUUCUCAGGCCCUUUUUGCUUUGCAGUGGCUGCUUUUACAGUACAGCAGCGUACGGGCUGAUGGUGGUCACGGCUGCUCGCCGCUGUGGCCAUAAGGAGGGCAAAGCCAGCAGGAUAAGAGCACAAGCUUUAGGUUAAGUGCAUGCUUAACCCACCCAGGGUAAGGCUGCUUUCCGUAACCCGGCCUCCAGUUAGGAAGGGGAAUGACUGCCAAGGCCCCAUGUGCUUUGACAAACCCAUUGCUGGUGGGAGAAGGCAGUGGGAGGGUUUGGCCGCAGCAGUGGAAGGUUGGAGGGUUCAGAGGUGGCUUUUGGCCUCAUGCUUAAACCCGACCAUGCCUAAAUCCACCAAAGUUAGUUCCAAGUUGUUUGGACCAAGUGCAUCUUAAGAAAUUUUGAGUUCUAAAGAAGUCACCAAGUCUUCCAGCAUGGCCAUUUCAUUGUGUCCUCUUUCCCUAGAGACGAUCCCAAUAACAUGCACUGGCCUACAGCACAUUUCCAGAGAAGUAUCGGUCUCGGUCUUUCUGUCUCUUGCUUUUCUUAACUGUAUCUACAGUAUGUUUCAGUGAAUCAUCACCUUCACUGUAUAAUGUAUUUUCUUCCUCUUCUAAUUUUAAUGGCUGUGGCUUUAGUCAACAGCAGUACGUUGGUAAGAGCAUUAAGAAGUUCAGAAAACUACUUUGCAAGGAUUCUGCUUCAGCUGAUGUGCUAAUGAAACUGAAACACUCUUUCUUGCAGUGGUCUGUGUAAGAUAGCUGGACAUUUUAAAUUUUCUAAUUAGUUUCUGGAUGAUUAUCUAUUAGUGUUUUCAUGCUUCAUUCCAUGCCAAUGUCUGAGUUUGGCCAAGGUCUUUUUCGGUCUCCUUAUUUUGCAUAUUUGGACUAAGCUGCUGAAGAAAACACUGCUUUUGCUGAAAUCAGGGAGACUUCAUUUGCUAGGUAGAAUGGGGUAGCAAUUUGGGAGCUUCUGUAAUUAGUCAUUCGUUUCCAGAAGUCUUUAUACAGCACAUAAAUGUGAACUAACCUUUCAGAAUCCUCUGCAGCUCUGGCACCAAAUAUCAAAUUUAGACUUAGCAACAGGACAGAAAAUGUGUAAUUUAUGAGCUAGUGAAGUAUCUUAUUAAACCAGUAUUUUCUAAAUUUUGACUUAAUUUAAUUUUAAUCUAAGAGAAAGAAGCAAUCUAAGUCCAGCCAAGGUUUUCCUUAAAUACCAUCCUUGUUAUCUGGGAGGCUUUAAAUCAACUAAGAUAGAUGAUUUUAAUUUCCGUGUUCUCAGUGUAACACUUGGGGUCAAUGUUUGCAUACUUAUCAUAGGCAAGUUUACCACUGACAACCGCUGUAAUUGUUCAACUUUUCCUUGGUGAAGACCUGAUUGACUGUUAUGCACUGUAUUUAUUAUGUCUCACACUGAAAUAUAGAUGAUUGAUUAUUCCAUUAUUCUAUUGACCAAGGCUGUAACAAGGUGUGACAAAUAUGGGCCAUUACAGCCCAUAACCAACUGAGGAAGGCAGUGCAGUCAGGUAAGAAAAUUUUAAUGUGUGCAACUCUCUGGGAAGCUUUAGCAAACUUUCAGGGCGCUGUGUUUAAAAGACUUUAUCUGAAUGAAUGUUCUUCAUUUCUGCUAGGUACUUUCUAAUUAUAAAAAGAAAAAGAAACCCAAAACAUAACAGGCCCUGAGCUGAAAAGCACAGAAUGUGAUUGAGAGCCCAUUGGAGCCAAAGGAAAUUCUUCCAGCAGCUUGCUGGGCUUUGGUGGGGUCCUGAGGGUAAUCUUUCUGUUUACUUCACUGAGAGCUGUGUCAAACCCUGAGAAGUAUCACCAUUUGUUAACCGCAUUAAAAAUGUUCAGAGAAAAAAAGUGUCUUCCGUCACUCAUGUAGCACAUUAAUGUGAAUUACGUGCACAUGUCAAGGGGACUUAUCGUUGGAAAGAGAAAAAUGCUGUGUUUUAAAGCUCUCUAUCUGCAGCUUGGUAUUUGAAAUGCGUAAUUUAAUUAUCUUCGAACUCCUUUGUUCCUCCUUAAAAUAAAUUAUGUUUAAUUUUCAUUUUAAGUAUCAUGCUUUGAUGGACGCAGCACUAGGGAUCGUGGCAACAAAAUGGUGUUGAACCAGCUACUGGAAAGUAGUACUAAUAAACAAUGCAUUCGCUACCACUCUAUCAUAUUAAUUAGUCUUCAGAAUGUGUCAGUGCUUUUCAUUUGUAUUUAAUGUUGCCUGAGUUUACUGCCAAUUAAAUACAAUGUUGUUAUCAAAUCAGCGCGCACGUGAUUGCAUUGGAUUAAUGUGGUUAUUCUCUUUGAUCCACUAUAAUUAAAAAUCACAGUUGUGAUUUUAAACAAGUGUAAAAAUAUAAUUAGUUUGUAUACGCAGCUGCUUUGUCUUCUAAUUUACUUUAAUAACGUUUGCUUCUAAUGAACAGUUGUGGAAGUCCUGGGCCCCGUGCAGCAGCUCACACGAGACAGCAGCGUUUUGUGAGCGCUGGCGGAAGCCUCCCACGUGCCCGUCGCUGUCCUUCCCCUCUGCCCAGCUGCGGUGAGCGACAUUUUCAAGCGAGAUCUAUGGCAGUUCAGUCCCCAAAUCCUAAAGGAGAGCUCAUCAGCUUUGAGCUGAAAGAAAAUACUGCUUUAAAACUCAAUGCUGUUUUCCUUGAAGCCUGACGGCAGAGUCUAACGAGCUGUCUACAAGUACCAUGCCGCAUCCUUGUCCCCACGGGACCCACCACCCCAGCUGUCAAGCAGCCAAGAGGCAGAGAGACAUGAGCUUGUGCAACAUGGGCAACCGUGAGAUGCUGAGAAGGUGUGAAUGCCUGCAUGCCAGCCCCAAAAUAUCCAGCCUACCCGGUCCCAGCUUUCCAGGCUGCAGCUUUUCACCGAACAGGAGCUCCUGAUUUUGGCCUCAGCAGAGGAACAUCCAUGUUUGCUGAUGGGACCUUGUGUGGAGGAUGCCAUGAACUCACAAAGAGCUUCAGAACACUUUAAUAAAGGGUCCCGAAAGACCAUAAGCGCAGAGGAGAUCCAAACCUGAUGCUACAGCACGAUGCUUUGGAGAAAGUUUUCAAAGCAGGAUGUGUGCGUUUUAACUCUACCGCCCAUUCAAUUGGAGCCCACCAGCUGUUAAACCCUCUAGAACCCCAGUUUGCUAAAAACUCGGCUGCCAAGCACCUGCACUGCUGGUGCUCUGCUCACCCGCAGUGUGCCGGGGGGGGACCGGCAGGGGCUGGCCAGCCCCUCGCCUUCUGCUCCCAUGUCCUGCUUACAUGGAACUCGGCAGCUGUCAGAGGGACGUGAAGCCAUUCUCAUUCCAGCAGCAGGGAAAAGAAAACUCCCAGCAGCUGAGGGAUCCAUGCAGAGGCACAAAGCAAACCCGCGUCGGGGACCUGGGAAGUUCCUGCUCUCUGCAGUCACCAUGUCAGAGUUCGUCUUGAAAGAUUUCCUUUCACAGGAGGCUCUGAACCCAGCAUUUCAUGCCGAAGGAGUGUGCUGCACGGGCAGCUCCCACUCAGCUUAUUUGUUGCUGUGAGCAGGACGUUGGUCCCAGUCCAGCCCUAAUGUGAUUCCUUUCCUGUGAGCAGCCUUAC